This 62-nucleotide transfer RNA is filed under the name Odontodactylus havanensis. Its description in RNAcentral is "tRNA-Cys". It matches the Rfam family "tRNA". From Rfam's summary of the family: Transfer RNA (tRNA) molecules are approximately 80 nucleotides in length. The record is from RNAcentral. Lineage: Eukaryota; Metazoa; Arthropoda; Malacostraca; Stomatopoda; Odontodactylidae.
AGUUUCAUAGUUUAACAAAAACGUCAGCCUGCAAUGCUGAAGACACUACAUAGUUGGAGCUU